RNAcentral lists this transfer RNA (75 nucleotides) under Rhodobacter phage RcXuper. RNAcentral's name for it is "tRNA-Arg". It matches the Rfam family "tRNA". Rfam says of the family: Transfer RNA (tRNA) molecules are approximately 80 nucleotides in length. Lineage: Duplodnaviria; Heunggongvirae; Uroviricota; Caudoviricetes. The record is from RNAcentral.
CUGCCCGUAGCUCAGUGGAAGAGCCGCCGCCUUCUAAGCGGAUACGCGGGGGUUCGAAUCCCUCCGGGCAGGCCA